GAAGCUCAGGGCCCGGGUCUGCCUGCACUGGGGUCACCCUGUCUCUCCUGACUCUCUCCAGUUAUGUUCCCGUGCUCGGGGGCCUCGGAACACAGGAAACAGAACCUGCCUCACGUGCCCCCGGCACUAGGACGUCCUCGCCCUGCCCAGGAGAGCAUCUGCCCAACUCCCUGGACCCUGGAUCUCAGACCCAGACCCAGUGGGGGCAUGUUUGCUGACUGACCCUCUGAAGGGCUGUGGUUUGCCCUUUAACGAGACCCCAGGAUCUGCCACGGAGGGAGGCAGCCCUGGUCCCUGAGCAGGCCCUGUGCUGUCACCUGCUUCCUUGGGAGGGGGCACCUGUGCUGCUCUCUGUGGACGGCCCCUCUCCCACCGAACUGUCCUAGUGCCUGGAAGCACCCGGCCCUCCCGAGGGCCCUGGAGCAGGGGUGGGGGAGAAGUCAGGCACCUGCUGUGACCCUUGGUGGCACACAGUGUCCUGUAGGUUCCAGGACUCUGGGCACAGGUGGCAGCUUAUUCAGCAGGGGCACCCCUGGGGCCACACUGGCACCUAGGGGGCGGGCUCCCGUCACAGACUCUGGCCUAGAGAGCCUGCACUGCUGGAAGGGAUGUGCAGUAGAACCAGUCUUGUCCCUUGAAGUCCCCGUGCGAGCCUGCGCAUCCCUGCAGCCAGCUUCUGCACAAAGACAAGGCUGCCUCCCAACCACAGGGGCCGGCGGCAGGAGCUGGGCAGAGACCACUCCGGAUAGCACCCAACCACAGGGGCCGGUGGCAGGAGCUGGGCAGAGACCACUCCGGAUAGCACCCAACCACAAGGGGCCGGCGGCAGGAGCUGGGCAGAGACCACUCCGGAUAGGUGUGGGGUGACGACUUCACUGAGAAAUUUCCCAGCCCCUUCCUGGCUUAGCUUUGGGUUUGCUUUGCUCAGAGGCCGCUGGGAUGGGGGCAGACGAGGGUACUGGGGAGGGGCUGCCGGUGCACAUAGGCGGGGUGCUCCCAGCCCUGGGUUGUGGGUGGGGGGACCCACGUCCUCCCCGCGGCCAGAACCUGAGCGAGUGCUCCGGGGGCACCGGGGAGCAGUGGGCAUGGAGGUUGCGCCCAUUCCUGGUUGAUCCCUGAGAGCUGUGGAAGUCUGCGUCCACUCCCGUGUCGCCACUGGUGUUAGGUAUGGGCUUCCGUGUGAACACUGGUGUUCUGUGACAACCGCUCCAUCCCUCCCCCUCCCCCAGCCUCCUGGGCCGGGCCCUCCACUGUGUCACCUGGGGCCACAGUUACUGUGCAACUCCCCUCCACCGCCGCACUCGCAGCAGUGAGCGUGACCCCCAAGGCAGCUACCUCUCCAGGCAUCGCUGGGCCCAGGCCUGGCAGGACUCAGGGGGCUCUGAAGGAGGGAGGAGGGACACUGCCCCCGGCCCUCCCCCACAUAAAGACCAGCUUGGCCCUCUGCCUUCCCCCUCUCUCAGCUUGACCCCACUUGCCACAGAACCGCCCCACUGAACGAGUGUUUCAAACCAUUGGUGAGAAGGGGCCAGUGCCGCCGCCUGCGACACUGGCAUUGCAUACCAGAACACUGGUUUGAGUCCCAGCUGCUCUGCUUCCCAUCCCUGCCAAUGUACCUGGGGAGCAGUGGAAGAUGGCCGAGUACCCGGGCCCCUGCCAUCCAAGUGGUAAACCUAGAAGAAGCUCCUGGCUUUGGAUCAGCCCAGCUCUGGUCGUUGCAACCAUUUGAGGAGAAACCAGCGGAUGGAAGAUCUCUCCACCCCACCCCCCACAGCUCUGCCUUUCAAAUAAAUUUUUAAAAAAUUAAAAGUUCGGGGAAGCU
RNAcentral lists this long non-coding RNA (1822 nucleotides) under Oryctolagus cuniculus (rabbit). RNAcentral's name for it is "lncRNA (ENSOCUG00000038982.1)". Lineage: Eukaryota; Metazoa; Chordata; Mammalia; Lagomorpha; Leporidae. The record is from RNAcentral.